This 740-nucleotide ribosomal RNA is filed under the name uncultured bacterium. Its description in RNAcentral is "bacterial SSU rRNA". It matches the Rfam family "Bacterial small subunit ribosomal RNA", at positions 8 to 796 of the family's 1533-position model. The record is from RNAcentral.
AGAGUUUGAUCCUGGCUCAGAACGAACGCUGGCGGCAGGCUUAACACAUGCAAGUCGAACGCACCUUCGGGUGAGUGGCAGACGGGUGAGUAACGCGUGGGAACGUGCCCUUCAGUUCGGAAUAACCCAGGGAAACUUGGGCUAAUACCGGAUACGUGCGAGAGCAGAAAGAUUUAUCGCUGAAGGAUCGGCCCGCGUCUGAUUAGCUAGUUGGUGGGGUAAUGGCCCACCAAGGCGACGAUCAGUAGCUGGUCUGAGAGGAUGAUCAGCCACAUUGGGACUGAGACACGGCCCAAACUCCUACGGGAGGCAGCAGUGGGGAAUAUUGGACAAUGGGCGCAAGCCUGAUCCAGCCAUGCCGCGUGAGUGAUGAAGGCCUUAGGGUUGUAAAGCUCUUUCGGCGGGGACGAUAAUGACGGUACCCGCAGAAGAAGCCCCAGCUAACUUCGUGCCAGCAGCCGCGGUAAUACGAAGGGGGCUAGCGUUGUUCGGAAUCACUGGGCGUAAAGGGCGCGUAGGCGGCUUGAUAAGUCGGGGGUGAAAGCCUGUGGCUCAACCACAGAAUUGCCUUCGAUACUGUCUGGCUUGAGACCGGAAGAGGUAAGUGGAACUGCGAGUGUAGAGGUGAAAUUCGUAGAUAUUCGCAAGAACACCAGUGGCGAAGGCGGCUUACUGGUCCGGUUCUGACGCUGAGGCGCGAAAGCGUGGGGAGCAAACAGGAUUAGAUACCCUAGUAGUCC